UGGGGAAUUGUUCACAAUGGGCGCAAGCCUGACCCAGCAACGCCGCGUGAAGGAUGAAGUAUUUCGGUAUGUAAACUUCGAAAGAAUAGGAAGAAUAAAUGACGGUACUAUUUAUAAGGUCCGGCUAACUACGUGCCAGCAGCCGCGGUAAUACAGAGGUGGCAAGCGUUGUUCGGAAUUACUGGGCGUAAAGGGCGCGUAGGCGGCCUACUAAGUCAGACGUGAAACUCCCCCGGCUUAACCUGGGAACUGCGUCUGAUACUGGAAGGCUUGAGUAUGGGAGAGGGAUGUAGAAUUCCAGGUGUAGCGGUGAAAUGCGUAGAUAUCUGG
Molecule: ribosomal RNA, 330 nt
Filed under: uncultured bacterium
Lineage: Bacteria
Description: bacterial SSU rRNA
Rfam family: Bacterial small subunit ribosomal RNA
Source: RNAcentral